This 200-nucleotide ribosomal RNA is filed under the name uncultured bacterium. RNAcentral describes it as "partial 16S ribosomal RNA". It matches the Rfam family "Bacterial small subunit ribosomal RNA", at positions 8 to 219 of the family's 1533-position model. The record is from RNAcentral.
AGAGUUUGAUCCUGGCUCAGGAUUAACGCUGGCGGCGUGCCUAACACAUGCAAGUCGAACGAGGUAGCAAUACCUAGUGGCAGACGGGUGAGUAACGCGUGGUCAACCUACCUUGAGUGGGGGAUAACUAGCCGAAAGGUUAGCUAAUACCGCAUACGUGUCCGGGGGGCAUCCCCUGGUCAUAAAAGGAGCAAUCCGCU